RNAcentral lists this ribosomal RNA (893 nucleotides) under Shigella sonnei. RNAcentral's name for it is "partial 23S ribosomal RNA". It matches the Rfam family "Bacterial large subunit ribosomal RNA", at positions 290 to 1190 of the family's 2925-position model. Lineage: Bacteria; Pseudomonadati; Pseudomonadota; Gammaproteobacteria; Enterobacterales; Enterobacteriaceae. The record is from RNAcentral.
ACGGGGAGCAGCCCAGAGCCUGAAUCAGUGUGUGUGUUAGUGGAAGCGUCUGGAAAGGCGUGCGAUACAGGGUGACAGCCCCGUACACAAAAAUGCACAUAUUGUGAGCUUGAUGAGUAGGGCGGGACACGUGGUAUCCUGUCUGAAUAUGGGGGGACCAUCCUCCAAGGCUAAAUACUCCUGACUGACCGAUAGUGAACCAGUACCGUGAGGGAAAGGCGAAAAGAACCCCGGCGAGGGGAGUGAAAAAGAACCUGAAACCGUGUACGUACAAGCAGUGGGAGCACGCUUAGGCGUGUGACUGCGUACCUUUUGUAUAAUGGGUCAGCGACUUAUAUUCUGUAGCAAGGUUAACCGAAUAGGGGAGCCGAAGGGAAACCGAGUCUUAACUGGGCGUUAAGUUGCAGGGUAUAGACCCGAAACCCGGUGAUCUAGCCAUGGGCAGGUUGAAGGUUGGGUAACACUAACUGGAGGACCGAACCGACUAAUGUUGAAAAAUUAGCGGAUGACUUGUGGCUGGGGGUGAAAGGCCAAUCAAACCGGGAGAUAGCUGGUUCUCCCCGAAAGCUAUUUAGGUAGCGCCUCGUGAAUUCAUCUCCGGGGGUAGAGCACUGUUUCGGCAAGGGGGUCAUCCCGACUUACCAACCCGAUGCAAACUGCGAAUACCGGAGAAUGUUAUCACGGGAGACACACGGCGGGUGCUAACGUCCGUCGUGAAGAGGGAAACAACCCAGACCGCCAGCUAAGGUCCCAAAGUCAUGGUUAAGUGGGAAACGAUGUGGGAAGGCCCAGACAGCCAGGAUGUUGGCUUAGAAGCAGCCAUCAUUUAAAGAAAGCGUAAUAGCUCACUGGUCGAGUCGGCCUGCGCGGAAGAUGUAACGGGGCUAAACCAU